RNAcentral lists this ribosomal RNA (530 nucleotides) under uncultured bacterium. Its description in RNAcentral is "partial 16S ribosomal RNA". It matches the Rfam family "Bacterial small subunit ribosomal RNA", at positions 28 to 523 of the family's 1533-position model. The record is from RNAcentral.
GACGAACGCUGGCGGCGUGCCUAAUACAUGCAAGUCGAACGAACUCUGGUAAUGAUUGGUGCUUGCAUCAUGAAUUACAUUUCAGUGAGUGGCGAACUGGUGAGUAACACGUGGGAAACCUGCCCAGAAGCGGGGGAUAACACCUGGAAACAGAUGCUAAUACCGCAUAACAACUUGGACCGCAUGGUCCGAGUUUGAAAGAUGGCUUCGGCUAUCACUUUUGGAUGGUCCCGCGGCGUAUUAGCUAGAUGGUGAGGUAACGGCUCACCAUGGCAAUGAUACGUAGCCGACCUGAGAGGGUAAGCGGCCACAUUGGGACUGAGACACGGCCCAAACUCCUACGGGAGGCAGCAGUAGGGAAUCUUCCACAAUGGACGAAAGUCUGAUGGAGCAACGCCGCGUGAGUGAAGAAGGGUUUCGGCUCGUAAAACUCUGUUGUUAAAGAAGAACAUAUCUGAGAGUAACUGUUCAGGUAUUGACGGUAUUUAACCAGAAAGCCACGGCUAACUACGUGCCAGCCGCCGCGGUAA